CCUACGGGGGGCUGCAGUGAGGAAUAUUGGUCAAUGGGCGCGAGCCUGAACCAGCCAAGUCGCGUGAGGGAAGACGGUCCUAUGGAUUGUAAACCUCUUUUGUCGGGGAGCAAAAGACGCCACGCGUGGCGUUCCGAGAGUACCCGAAGAAAAAGCAUCGGCUACCUCCGUGCCAGCAGACGCGGUAAUACGGAGGAUGCGAGCGUUAUACGGAUUUAUUGGGUUUAAAGGGUGCGCAGGCGGAAGAUCAAGUCAGCGGUAAAAUUGAGAGGCUCAACCUCUUCGAGCCGUUGAAACUGGUUGUCUUGAGUGAGAGAGAAGUAUGCGGAAUGCGUGGUGUAGCGGUGAAAUGCAUAGAUAUCACGCAGAACUCCGAUUGCGAAGGCAGCAUACCGGCGCUCAACUGACGCUCAUGCACGAAAGUGUGGGUAUCGAACAGGAUUAGAUACCCUAGUAGUC
RNAcentral lists this ribosomal RNA (459 nucleotides) under uncultured bacterium. RNAcentral describes it as "partial 16S ribosomal RNA". It matches the Rfam family "Bacterial small subunit ribosomal RNA", at positions 338 to 795 of the family's 1533-position model. The record is from RNAcentral.